RNAcentral lists this ribosomal RNA (921 nucleotides) under Lasiodiplodia swieteniae. RNAcentral describes it as "partial large subunit ribosomal RNA". It matches the Rfam family "Eukaryotic large subunit ribosomal RNA", at positions 34 to 968 of the family's 3401-position model. Lineage: Eukaryota; Fungi; Ascomycota; Dothideomycetes; Botryosphaeriales; Botryosphaeriaceae. The record is from RNAcentral.
CUAAGCAUAUCAACUCMAGCGGAGGAAAWGAAACCAACAGGGAUUGCCUUAGUAACGGCGAGUGAAGCGGCAACAGCUCAAAUUUGAAAGCUGGCCCUUUUAGGGUCCGCGUUGUAAUUUGUAGAGGAUGAUUCGGCGAGGGCUCCUGCCUAAGUCCCCUGGAACGGGGCGUCAUAGAGGGUGAGAAUCCCGUAUGCGGUAGGUUGCCUUAGCCAUGUGAAUCUCCUUCGACGAGUCGAGUUUUUUGGGAAUGAAGCUCUAAAUGGGAGGUAAAUUUCUUCUAAAGCUAAAUAUUGGCCAGAGACCGAUAGCGCACAAGUAGAGUGAUCGAAAGAUGAAAAGCACUUUGGAAAGAGAGUUAAAAAGUACGUGAAAUUGUUGAAAGGGAAGCGCUUGCAACCAGACUUGUCCGCAGUUGCUCAGCCGGUCUCCUGACCGGCGUACUCUUCUGCGGCCAGGCCAGCAUCAGUUCGGGCGGUCGGAUAAAGGCCUCGGGAAUGUAGCUCCUCUCGGGGAGUGUUAUAGCCCGGGGCGGAAUGCGGCCAGCCUGGACUGAGGAUCUCGCUUCGGCAAGGAUGCUGGCGUAAUGGUUGUAAGCGGCCCGUCUUGAAACACGGACCAAGGAGUCUAACAUCUAUGCGAGUGUUCGGGUGUCAAACCCGUACGCGUAAUGAAAGUGAACGGAGGUGGGAACCCGCAAGGGUGCACCAUCGGCCGAUCCUGAUGUCUUCGGAUGGAUUUGAGCAAGAGCAUAGCUGUUGGGACCCGAAAGAUGGUGAACUAUGCCUGAAUAGGGUGAAGCCAGAGGAAACUCUGGUGGAGGCUCGCAGCGGUUCUGACGUGCAAAUCGAUCGUCAAAUUUGGGUAUAGGGGCGAAAGACUAAUCGAACCAUGCUAGUUMGACUGGUUCCUGCCGAGCUU